GUGUUAGCUGGCAAGGAGGAAGUUGUCCGGGCGAAAAGGGGGUGUGGCGGUAGCCAUGAAGGCAGGGAGCCAGGCAUAAGGGUACGGGUCCUUCCAUGACGAUGUGUAGACGAGAAUACCCAAGGAUAUGUGAUGCUGGAUCUGACAAGGGGGUCGCAAUCCACCUCCUUCCAUGAUGGCUAACCUCCAACUGGUUUUUCUUUUCCCGUAGGAUAUGCACUCCUCCAUGUCAUGUCUUGGCCUCUUUUGAUGUAUGCAUUACCAUAAUCUUUCUGCAUGUCCUGUUCAAUCCAUUGGUUUCUAGCGGAUGCCGUGCAGUGAUUCAAAUUUGCUGCGUUUUCUCUGCUACAUCAGUUGGUCUAUGGGCCAUUCUUAGGUCCCUUUGUUCUGCAUGAGGCCAUGUUACUUUGGUGUGCAGGAGAGUUCUUGCAGUCUAACAUGUAAGUCUCCAAGUUUAUUGGUUCUAUGUUUGCUAUAUUAUUUGGGAGUGGAUGGUUAUGUCUGCCUGACGAUUGUCUCAAUUUGCAUGGUAGCGGUUUUCCUUUUAUCUAUCUCUAGGUGGUUGCUGUCAUAUGUGUUUUCACCGACUUUGCAAGCCUCGGGAUGCUAAUUGACUGGCUAGCAAAUUGCUAGGUGACUUCUUAAGGCCGACCAUUGUUGGACUCCUUCACUACUAUUGGAAAAUGGUGCUUCACAUAUCACACCCUUCUAUAUUAAAAUUUUCAGACGGCGAGGAAGAGCAAGUGUUGAGGUCUCGCUGCAUCCACUAGGUCAUUUCUCCAUGGCCGUCGUCUUCCCAAGUCCAGGUCAUGUCCUUGGUCUCUAUUUGAUGUAACUUCUCUAUCUUGCUGCUGGUGCUACUCCAUCUACCGGUUGCAUCUACAACAUGAACCCCCUUUAGAUGGCUUGAUCUUAUACAAUUUCUUCUAUUAUGUUGGUAUAUGGCGGUAUAUGGCUACUGUAUCCUGAUUUGUUGAGCAAAUGGUUUAGAUUCUAUGUGUAGAUCGGAGAUGCUAAAUUGGUUUGGAAGUGAGGUCGUUACCUUUGUCUAAUUUAGUGUCACGUUAAACCUGUUGCACCUUCUACCUCAUGAUGUCUCUAUUAGUAGGCAUAAAUAUUUAAUUUUGACGUCAA
Long non-coding RNA from Aegilops tauschii subsp. strangulata, 1134 nucleotides. RefSeq lists it as uncharacterized. NCBI's taxonomy places the organism in Eukaryota, Viridiplantae, Streptophyta, Magnoliopsida, Poales, Poaceae. The record is from RefSeq and is a predicted model, not a curated record.